Molecule: ribosomal RNA, 607 nt
Filed under: Entoloma sp. BC09-338
Lineage: Eukaryota; Fungi; Basidiomycota; Agaricomycetes; Agaricales; Entolomataceae
Description: partial small subunit ribosomal RNA
Rfam family: Bacterial small subunit ribosomal RNA
Source: RNAcentral
UAUUAGUCAAUGCUCGCAAGAGUGAACUAGCUAACUGAAAUCACAGGAUCCACUACGUGUGGUGAAUGUAAUAACGUAAGGGAAAAAAAUGAUAUUACCUUACUAUUAGUGUUGUCCAAAACUGGUGCCAGAAGACUCGGUAAGGCCAGAGACGCAAACGUUAGUCGUCCUAAUCAGGCGUAAAGGGUAUGUAGGCUGCUUUAAAAGUUUUAUAUUUAAAAGCUCAGUUAAAAAUUUUAAAUAUAAAAAAUACUUACUUUUUUUACAGAAAAAUAUAAAAUGAAUUAAAGCUAGGAUCAAAUUGAGGAUAAGUCAAAUAAUACUUAGUGUAGGGUUUAAAUCUGGUGAUACUAGGGGGAGUACUAACGGUGAAAGCUUUUUAUCUAGAAAUGAUUGACGCUGAGAAACGAAGGUGAGAAUAGGAAAUAGGAUUAGAUACCCAGAUACCUCUCACAGUCAACGAUGAAUGGUGGUUGUUAGUUAGUUUUAUUUAACUGAUAACGAUGUUAACACGAUAACCAUUCCGCCUUGCGAGUACGGUUGCAAAACUGAAACCAAAAAAAUUAGUCGGUCUCGAAGCAAACGAAGUGAAGCAUGUUAUUUAAUU